Molecule: unclassified non-coding RNA, 5286 nt
Filed under: Homalodisca vitripennis (glassy-winged sharpshooter)
Lineage: Eukaryota; Metazoa; Arthropoda; Insecta; Hemiptera; Cicadellidae
Description: probable multidrug resistance-associated protein lethal(2)03659, transcript variant X1
Source: RNAcentral
CAGAAACCACAUGCAAUGGAGGCAGAUAAGAAAGAGUCGCAGAAACUACCUCCAAAUCCUCAGUCACUGGCUAAUAUGCUGUCAAAGUUGACAGUUAGUUGGACAAAGCAAAUAUUUAUGAAGGGAUACAAAAAAGAACUAGAAAUCAGUGAUCUCUAUUCACCUUUGGAAGAACAUAAAUCUAGUAGAUUAGGGGAUACACUAAGCAGAUGUUGGCAGUCAGAAUUAGAGAAGGCCAAACACAAAGAUAGAAAGCCGAAGCUAUUGACUGCAGUGCUGACUGGGUUUGGAAUGAGAAUGAUGAUCUUUGGAAUAGUCAUGUUCUUUGGUCAAGUAAUUUUAAGAAUAGCCCAGCCCCUUUUGCUUGCACGAAUGUUGAAAUACUUCUCACCAGAAAGUAAGAUGGGGAAGAGCGAAGCGUGGUUAUACGCCCUGGGGGUUGUGCUCUGUACCGUCAGCAGUGUCAUAGUGAACAACCCCCUCUGGCUCGGUCUACUGCACCACGCCAUGAAGCUGCGUGUCGCCUGCUGCUCCCUCAUCUAUCGCAAGUCACUACGCCUGAGCAAAGCAGCGCUAGGUCAGACUACUGUCGGACAAGUGGUUAACCUGAUGACGAAUGAUGUGAAUCGGUUUGACAUGGGUAUCAUCUUCAUCCACUACCUGUGGCUCGGACCCGUAACUACAGUAGUGGUCACUUACUUCCUCUGGCAGCAGAUCGGAGUGGCGGCUCUAGUAGGAGUGGCUGCCUUGUUGAUCUCUAUACCGGCACAGAUGUGGUUGGGAAAACAAAAAUCAUCGUAUCGCUUGAAAACAGCAAAGAGAACCGAUGAGAGAAUUCGAUUGAUGAAUGAAAUAAUAAAUGGAAUAUCAGUUAUAAAGAUGUAUACUUGGGAAAAACCUUUCGAAAAGCUCGUAGCAGAAGCAAGAAGGCUUGAAAUUAAAGAAAUACGUGGCAGUUCUUACAUAACGGGUAUCAUGUUGUCUUUCCUGUUGUUCAACAACCGUCUGGCCAUAUUUUGCUCCAUAGUAACCUACGUGUUGAUGGGAAAUUUAAUCACAGCUUCAAUAGUGUAUGUUGUGACCGAUUUCUUCACUCUCGUUCGUCAAAUGAUGUCCGACUUCUUCCCUCUGGCAAUCGGACUAACAGCUGAAAUUUUAGUUUCCAUCAAAAGAAUAGAAACGUUUCUGCUGUAUAAUGAAAUGAGAGGAAAGUCGUCUUUAGAAGAAAACGGAAAAGUUAAUUUGUCUUUCGUCAAUGAUCAAGCUGAAGGAGAUAAAGUGAAGGAUCUUCCGAGAAUAAUUGAUAGUGAAGUAAAUAACAGUUUUUCACUCAGUGUAAUACUGAAGGAUGCAUCAGCUAAAUGGAGUGACGAAACUUUUGAGGAAACCUUAAGUGACAUUAACAUUGAAUUUCCUACGGGAAAACUGACAGUCGUGAUAGGUCCAGUUGGCUCUGGAAAGUCCUCCAUUCUACAAACAAUUCUAAAAGAAUUGCCAUUAUCGAGCGGGUUUCUCCACAUAUCGGGGAGUCUCUCUUACGCUGCCCAGGAGCCCUGGUUGUUUGAAGGCAGCGUGCGCCAGAACAUACUGUUCGGCAGUCCCUACAACGAGACCCGCUAUCGUAUGGUUGUGAGGGCUUGUGCUUUACGUACUGACUUGGAGCAACUGCCUCACGGAGACCAGACCCUGGUCGGGGAUCGUGGAGUAGUCCUCAGCGGGGGUCAGCGUGCUCGAAUAAACAUGGCUCGGGCCGUUUACAGAGAGGCCGACAUCUAUCUAUUGGAUGACCCCCUGUCUGCUGUCGACACACAUGUUAGCAAACAUUUGUUUGAGCAAUGUAUAUCAGGUUAUCUGAAAUCUAAAACCGUUAUCCUGGUGACACAUCAACUGCAAUUCUUGGCUUCUGCUGACCACAUCGUCCUUCUUAGUGAUGGCAAAGUAAUAACACAGGGCUCAUAUCAAGCAAUGAAAUCUUCAGGCACAGACUUCAGUAAAAUGAUAUUUGACAACAAAGAGGAGGAAGAAGAAGAAGAAUCCAAUAAAGAGGGCACAUUCAAGAGGGCUGUGAGUCAAACAGAAACAACAAAGUACGAGGUUGUGGAAGAGGUUGAAGAGAUGAGAACGAAGGGAACAGUGUCGAGUCAAGUAUUCCGCUCUUACAUGACAGCGGGAGGUCACUGGACAUCUAUGAUGUUCCUUCUCCUCAUGUUCUGCCUUACUCAGUUUAUUGGAAGUGCAGGAGAUUACUGGUUAAAUUACUGGGUGAAUUUAGAAGAGUACGUUUACCAUAGAGAACCAAAUUCCACGACACUAAUGCCGGACUACCCCUUCUAUCUCUCUCAAACAUGGUGCAUCGUAGUGUUCACUCUACUAAUUGGAGCCACCAUCAUAGUCUCACUUGUCCGCUCGUUCCUCUUCUUCUACAUGUGCAUGCGUUCCUCAAUGUGGCUACACAACACAAUGUUCUCUUCCAUCACCCGAGCGACAAUGAGAUUUUUUCAUACAAAUCCAUCAGGUCGAAUUCUAAACCGCUUUACCAAAGAUAUGGGCUCUGUAGAUGAACUUCUGCCCAGUUCUCUUCUGGAUGUCCUGCAGAUUGGAUUGGUUGUAAUUGGAAUUGUUGGUGUACUUGUAUUGGUGAAUGCCUGGCUACUCAUUCCAACAUUCAUUGUUGCUUGCAUAUUUUAUUUCCUCAGAAAUUUCUACUUGAAGACUUCUAGAGGGGUGAAGCGGUUGGAAGGAAUCACUAGAAGUCCUGUAGUAACACAUUUAAAUGCGUCAUUGCACGGGUUAACAACCAUUAGGGCUUUUAGUGCAGAGGCUGUCCUGGAGAAAGAGUUUGAUAGUCAUCAGGAUUUACAUUCUUCUGCCUUCUACAUAUUCAUUGCCACUGCUCGAGCAUUUGGCUACUGGUUGGAUGUAGUGUGUUCCCUCUACAUUGCCAUGGUCACCUUCAGUUUCCUCAUCAUUGACAGUGCAUGGCUGGGAGGCAGUGUGGGUCUUGCCAUCACCCAGACAGUCGGUCUCAUCGGUAUGUUCCAGUGGGGUAUGAAACAGUCUGCUGAGGUGGAGAACUUCAUGACCUCUGUUGAGAGAAUACUUGAGUACACACAAGUAGACAAAGAACCUCCACUGGAAUCACCACAAGACAAAAAACCCCCUGCUAAUUGGCCGACUGAAGGUGAAGUUGAGUUCAACCAUGUGGUCAUGUCUUACGAUCCUUCCCUGCCACCUGUUUUGAAAGACGUGACAUUUGUCAUACAACCACGAGAAAAAGUUGGCGUUGUUGGCCGCACUGGAGCAGGUAAAUCUUCAUUAACUGCUGCUUUAUUUCGAUUUAAUUCAUUCAAAGGAAAAAUCAUCAUUGAUGGCAUUGAUGUGACUGAUUUUGGACUCCAUGAUUUACGGUCCAAACUCUCUGUUAUUCCUCAAGAACCUGUGUUGUUUUCUGGAAAUGUUCGCAAAAACCUUGAUCCUUUUGAUGAAUACUCUGAUCACACAAUAUGGAGUGCUUUAGAGGAGGUUGAACUGAAAGAAGUGAUAGAAGACUUACCACAAGGUUUAAACAGUAAAAUCGUAGAGGGUGGAGCCAAUCUGAGUGUUGGACAGCGACAGCUGAUGUGCCUGGCCCGAGCCAUCGUCCGUAACAAUAAGAUUUUGGUUCUGGAUGAGGCUACAGCUAAUGUAGAUCUACAGAGUUUGACCAUCCUCAUAUCCUACUGGAAAACAAGCAUGGUUAUUUGUACCGAAUGGUAGAACAGCUGGGCAGAACUGCAGCAGAAUCAUUGCAUAACAUUGCAGCCUUGAAUUACAACCAAAGCACCGUUCUAAGAAGACCAAAAUCCUCAUAGUUGUCGAAAACGCUAUAUUUAUACGCUCCGUUUUACGAACAAUAGUCCAGAUUACCUGACCUAAUGUGACGAAUAGUAGGCCAGACGACAAAUAGCCCAGAAAAUCCAAAGUUAAAUAACCCACACACCAUCUUGAGUUGGUACACGUGUCACUCCUGCUGACAAAGCAGCUAUACCAAACAGAGCUAUUUUGCAAAUUUCCACCCUAAUGUGUGCAGGCAUUGUAACAUGCAGCCAUACAUUAUGUAAGUUAUACUUACCUCUUGUGCAAUUACUGUUAACAAUGCAGUUCAUACUUACUCACCAUGUCAAAUCAUAUCGCAAUAAGCUCAACCGAUGGCAUUUACUUGUUUCAUCCUGAUUUAUAUAAUGUUGCAAUCAUGCCAGAGCUGAUUUGACUAAUCAGAAGGUCUGGAUAACCAGGGAUCUAUUGUACAUCUUAGUUAUUUAAUGAAAGAAACCAACACGUUCCUUAUUAUAAAUAAUUCUUUGUUUUCCCAUUUCUAUAAACUAGUAAUAAGAACUAUGUCAUUAAUAUUAUAUAUUGUAUUUGAAUUGUUAUAAUGAAUAAAAUCUGCAUACUGUAUGUUUAAACAUAUAUCCUACUUAUUGAUUGAUUGAGAUUUAUUCAUCUACUUUUGUAAUUAAAUCCCUGUCUAUAUAUUUAUUGCUUAAAGAUAGAGGGAUUCCUUUCCCGAAUUUAUCUAUGUAAAUUGAUUUAUAUAAAUUCAAUAAAUAAUAUUGUGUAAGAAUUGUAAACAAUUUAUUUGAUUUGAUAUUUUACUGAAUAUUGUGGGGAAGAUCAAAAGUAUAGUUGUCAUCAAGUUAUCUAUUUUUAUUUGUUUCAAAACAUCAUAACGUUUUAUUACUUCCUUAUAAGUAUUCACUGUUUUACCUUUAAAUGUUCUUUAGAGUUUUAGUACACAAAACCUUAAAUUCUUAUUAACGAAUGUCACACAAACAUUUUGGAACUGCUACUGAAGAUAUACAUGUUUUUAUUUAUAUUUAGUUUAAAGUAUUAGUUUUGUAAGUAUCAAGACUAAUAUUGUAUUAAUAAAGGCAUUUAUUUAAAUAGAUUGUUUAUUUUAGGAGUACUUUCAUCUGAUGCACUUUCCACGAUGUGCUGACACACUGGUUCUAUGCAAAUAUAAGAAAUUUGAAUAAAAAUCAGUAUUUCAAACUAUAAUUUUAUAAAGCUAAUCACCAUUAUUUUCUUACACAAAAAUAUGAUUAGUUAGAUCAUCAGAUAAAAUGAAUUUCUCAAUCAACUCUUAAUUGAUCGAGUGAAGAUGAAUAAUUAUUCUAAUCAUGGCGAGAACAAAUGAUGCUAAGACUAAAUGUUGGAGAGACUUAUAUUAAUCAGACCAAAUCUUACUGUUUUUUUAAUUUUAUUUUAGGCUUAGACUAAAAUAAAAAGGAAAAUAUUUACAUUUAA